RNAcentral lists this ribosomal RNA (796 nucleotides) under uncultured Neocallimastigales. RNAcentral describes it as "partial large subunit ribosomal RNA". It matches the Rfam family "Eukaryotic large subunit ribosomal RNA", at positions 24 to 646 of the family's 3401-position model. The record is from RNAcentral. Lineage: Eukaryota; Fungi; Neocallimastigomycota; Neocallimastigomycetes; Neocallimastigales.
UUAUCUCUGUAGAGUCUGCAUAUCAAUAAGCGGAGGAAAAGAAACUAACUAGGAUUCCCUUAGUAACGGCGAGUGAAGCGGGAAGAGCUCAAAUUUGAAAUCUUCAAGGUUUUACCUUGACGAAUUGUAGUUUAAAGAAGUGUUUUCUGUUAGAGUUUGAGUAGCAAAGUUCCUUGGAAUAGGGACAUCAUAGAGGGUGAGAAUCCCGUAUUUGGACCUAUUCAUUUCCUAGCUUUGUGAUACACUUUCAAAGAGUCGGAUUGUUUGGGAAUGCAGUCCAAAAUGGGUGGUAAAUUUCAUCUAAAGCUAAAUACUGGCGAGAGACCGAUAGCGAACAAGUACCGUGAGGGAAAGAUGAAAAGAACUUUGAAAAGAGAGUUAAACAGUACGUGAAAUUGUCAAAAGGGAAGCGUUUGACACCAGUGUUGUUUUCUCGAAAAUCAAUUAAAAAAUGGCAUGAUUUUGUGUUGUAUUGACCUUUAAUCAAGCUUUCUUCACUCUUUUUCAUUGUCUUUUUUUAAUGCACUUUUCGUUUAACAAGUCAACAUCAAUUUCUUUUGUUGUAAAAGAGUCAUUCGGAAGGUGGCUUUCUUUUCGGAGAAAGUGUUUAUAGCCCUUAUGCCUCUACAAUCGGAGAGAUUGAGGUCUGCAGCGUAGAUCCUUCGGGGUUAGAUACACUUUGUGCUAAGUUAUAGCCUUUUCAUAGACAACUUGUUGACUAUGAUCUAGUCAUGUAGGCUUACUCGCUUAGUGCUAUUUUACCUACGCUUAGGAUGUUGACGAGACUGUCGAUCUC